This 297-nucleotide ribosomal RNA is filed under the name Amblyomma javanense. RNAcentral's name for it is "partial large subunit ribosomal RNA". The record is from RNAcentral. Lineage: Eukaryota; Metazoa; Arthropoda; Arachnida; Ixodida; Ixodidae.
UUUUAAUUGAAUGCUAAAAGAAUGGAAUUUCAGGGAAAAACUUUUUUGAUUUUAAUAAUUAAAGUUAUUUUAAUUUGUGAAGAAACAAUUAUAAAAAUUAGGGACAAGAAGACCCUAAGAAUUUAUGAAUUUAUACAUAAAUGUAUAUUGUGUUUUAAAUUCUUGGUUGGGGCAACCAAAAAAUAUUUGUAACUUUUAUAAAAUAAAAUGAUCCAUUAUUAAUGACAAUAUGAUUAAAAUACUCUAGGGAUAACAGCGUAAUAAUUUUAGAUAGACCAUAUAGACAAAAUAGUUUGC